Molecule: long non-coding RNA, 1159 nt
Organism: Phyllostomus discolor (pale spear-nosed bat)
Lineage: Eukaryota; Metazoa; Chordata; Mammalia; Chiroptera; Phyllostomidae
Exons: 2
Source: RefSeq, a predicted model, not a curated record
AGCUAUCAAUAAGCUGUACAUGAAAACUACCUGGAAGCGGAAUCUGACUCCAGGGUUUGGUGUUAAACACCAGAGGAUAUAAAGUAUCCUGCCAAGGACAAACCUUUACAGCCCUACAUUCCACUGCUGGUGAUAUGUAUUCUCUUCCUCGUCAGAUUAGAAAGAGGCAGUAGGGGACAAUCAGUGGAUUGAAUAUCGAAUCAAAAGUCCUAAGGUCCGGUAUGUUUUUCAGCUGGUGAACAAAAGACAUCUGAGGAUUCAGGAUGUCAAUUCAACUUAUUUCUUACAGCAUUAUGAUAAGAAGAAGGGGAAUUCUUUGUAGUUUAUCUCAUUUCUAUAUUAUCUUAUCUUCACAACUCUGCAAAUCUUCCACCAUAGGCACAAGAAGAACAAUUGAAAGCCUGAAGAAUGAAAGAAAACCUGCUUAGGAAACUUGACUCUGGCAGCAUCCCACACUGUGGUUAUAAGACAUCCACCUUUCUGCCUGAGGUUCCCAUCUGAAGAACAAGGGUAACAAGAGCACCUCUCCCAACAAAUGUUUGCCUAACUCUUUGAAGUUUAUAUGCUCUGCAUCUGGGUGAAGUCUAGUUAAUGCAUCCAUAGGAAGUGCUUUCCUAGCAGAAAGGUGCAACUCUGGGUGUGUCUUUCUCUUCCCAUUCAUUCAAAUCUCUGUUGUUAAACUCAUGAGAACUUUACUCCAGUUAAUCAUGCCACAUCUGAAAUAUUCUCCCAGGAUCUACUACCAAGAGACCUCAAAGUCCAUUUCCAGCCUUCUACAUUUGGCCUUGGUAACACUUCAUCCAAUCAAAAGUGCCUCUUGGACCAGCUGUGUGGAUUAGGGGAAUUGUAAUGGAAAGUAGAAAUGUGCUCAUUUCUUAUGCUAAUUCCCAGAGUACCCCUCUGUCCUAAAGGCAUUCUGUAGCUGUGCCCACAAAGCACAAAGAGGUAAUGGAGAAUGAAGACAGCAUGCUCACAGAUUACCCAGGAACCAGGUCAAAUGCAUUAUCUCAUCCUAACUAAUUACAUGUGCACUGACUAUUUCCAAAUAAGGUCACAUUCUAAGGUACACAUUAGGACUUCAAUGUGUAAAAUUUGUAUUUGACACAAUUCAACAUCUUAAGUCAGUGACUCCCAAAUCCUGGUUCAAGGCUAAAGCAAA